This 140-nucleotide unclassified non-coding RNA is filed under the name uncultured Lophiostoma. RNAcentral describes it as "sequence contains ITS1". The record is from RNAcentral. Lineage: Eukaryota; Fungi; Ascomycota; Dothideomycetes; Pleosporales; Lophiostomataceae.
CAGUUGGGGCCCCGCCCCGAUCAAGAUACCACCCCUUGCAUUUUGAGUACCUCUGUUUCCUCGGCGGGCACGCCCGCCAAUGGGGACCACAAAGAAACCUCUUGCAGUUGCAGUAAACGUCAAAAACAAAACAAAAAUCA